RNAcentral lists this unclassified non-coding RNA (223 nucleotides) under uncultured fungus. RNAcentral describes it as "sequence contains ITS1, 5.8S rRNA gene". The stretch from base 175 to 223 matches the Rfam family "5.8S ribosomal RNA", at positions 1 to 49 of the family's 154-position model. Lineage: Eukaryota; Fungi. The record is from RNAcentral.
UUUCCGUAGGUGAACCUGCGGAAGGAUCAUUACCGUUGGGGCCCCGGCCCCAAUCAAGAUACCACCCUUGCAUUUUAAGUACCCUCUGUUUCCUCGGCGGGCCUGCCCGCCAGAGGACCGCACCCAAAACCCUUCUGUAGUUGCAGUAAACGUCUCAAAAACAAAAAUAAUCAAAACUUUCAACAACGGAUCUCUUGGUUCUGGCAUCGAUGAAGAACGCAGC